UACGAAGGGUGCUAGCGUUGUUCGGAAUUACUGGGCGUAAAGCGCGCGUAGGCGGCCAUACAAGUCAGAGGUGAAAUCCCAGGGCUCAACCCUGGAACUGCCUUUGAAACUGUAUGGCUUGAAUAUCGGAGGGGAUAGCGGAAUUGCUAAUGUAGCGGUGAAAUGCGUAGAUAUCUGGAGGAAUACCGGUGGCGAAGGCGGCAUCCUGGACCGACAUUGACGCUGAUGAGCGAAAGCUAGGGGAGCAAACGGG
This 253-nucleotide ribosomal RNA is filed under the name uncultured bacterium. RNAcentral describes it as "partial 16S ribosomal RNA". It matches the Rfam family "Bacterial small subunit ribosomal RNA", at positions 524 to 776 of the family's 1533-position model. The record is from RNAcentral.